RNAcentral lists this ribosomal RNA (298 nucleotides) under uncultured bacterium. Its description in RNAcentral is "partial 16S ribosomal RNA". It matches the Rfam family "Bacterial small subunit ribosomal RNA", at positions 337 to 633 of the family's 1533-position model. The record is from RNAcentral.
ACCUACGGGACGCAGCAGUGAGGAAUAUUGGUCAAUGGGAGAGAUCCUGAACCAGCCAAGCCGCGUGAGGGAAGACGGCCCUAUGGGUUGUAAACCUCUUUUGUCGGAGAACAAAACCCGGGACGUGUCCCGGACUGCGUGUAUCCGAAGAAAAAGCAUCGGCUAACUCCGUGCCAGCAGCCGCGGUAAUACGGAGGAUGCGAGCGUUAUCCGGAUUUAUUGGGUUUAAAGGGUGCGCAGGCGGAAGCGCAAGUCAGCGGUAAAAUUGAGAGGCUCAACCUCUUCCCGCCGUUGAAAC